This 292-nucleotide ribosomal RNA is filed under the name uncultured bacterium. Its description in RNAcentral is "partial 16S ribosomal RNA". It matches the Rfam family "Bacterial small subunit ribosomal RNA", at positions 338 to 628 of the family's 1533-position model. The record is from RNAcentral.
CCUACGGGGCGCAGCAGUGAGGAAUAUUGGUCAAUGGCCGAGAGGCUGAACCAGCCAAGUCGCGUGAGGGAAGACGGCCCUACGGGUUGUAAACCUCUUUUGUCGGGGAGCAAAGAGAGUCACGUGUGACUCAUUGAGAGUACCCGAAGAAAAAGCAUCGGCUAACUCCGUGCCAGCAGCCGCGGUAAUACGGAGGAUGCGAGCGUUAUCCGGAUUUAUUGGGAUUAAAGGGUGCGCAGGCGGAGGCGCAAGUCAGCGGUCACAUUGAGGUGCUCAACCCCGUACUGCCGUU